Non-coding RNA from Triticum aestivum (bread wheat), 135 nucleotides. NCBI's taxonomy places the organism in Eukaryota, Viridiplantae, Streptophyta, Magnoliopsida, Poales, Poaceae. The record is from Rfam.
CUGCUACUCCCACCGUCCAAAAAUACUUGUCAUCAAAAUGGACAAAAAAGGAUGCAUCUAGAACUAAAAUACGGCUAGAUACAUCUCCUUUUAUUCAUUUUGAUGACAAGUAUUUCCGGACGGAGGGAGUAUUAU